This 405-nucleotide long non-coding RNA is filed under the name Gossypium barbadense (sea-island cotton). RNAcentral describes it as "long non-coding RNA (GBAR_LNC002615)". Lineage: Eukaryota; Viridiplantae; Streptophyta; Magnoliopsida; Malvales; Malvaceae. The record is from RNAcentral.
GGUGGUCUAAUGAUCAUGAGGGGGUGGAGGUCUAACAGCCGGAUUCGUUCGAAUGAACUUGGCAAACCAUUCAUUCAUAGCUUAGAAGAAGACUUCUCGAGCCCCUCCUCCCAGACUAAUUGUAACGGACCUUUCACUACUAUUUGGUGGCACCGACCCUUCUGUGGGAGUGGGCACGUUACUCUCUACAUCAUUUGCACUAGCUUGUUCGGGAUCCAUAACUAUAAAAGAAAACAUUUUAAAAUCGUCAAAAGUCGUCACACUAUCAAUACAUAAGUAUGGAAUGUAUAGCUAGACUCUUACUCAUACUAAAUAUUCUGAGAACCGACUAAACCUUUGCUCUAAUACCAAUAAAUAUAAUUCCCCGAACCCGAGACCGUCGCCAGAGUCGAGCACGAGGUGUUA